Long non-coding RNA from Cercocebus atys (sooty mangabey), 796 nucleotides. RefSeq lists it as uncharacterized. Lineage: Eukaryota; Metazoa; Chordata; Mammalia; Primates; Cercopithecidae. The record is from RefSeq and is a predicted model, not a curated record. The transcript is spliced from 2 exons.
AAGUUUGUGCCAUAAUACCUCACAAAGGCAUGUAUCACGAUGAACAAUUGGUCUUUAGUUUGUAACCCUGUGCCCAUUCCUGGAGCAUGGAUUUGGCUGGGAGAAGGCAUUCACUAGCUUUAAUAUCUCCAAGAAGCUUUAUAUUAUAGGAAGGUCAGGUACUCACCAGACUCAUCCAACCCUUCUCAGAUUCAGAGUCUCUCCUCUUCUCUCAGGUUGGCUAAUGAUUAUUCGAGUCAUAUUAAGGGAUAGUAAGAUCUUGGUCUUUCCCAGUAGGGAAGCUCUUUCACACAGGACAGAGCCUUGGGUAAGGUUUGUGCUUCAACACUCAAUGAGGGUAAGUCCUUCCGUUUUAUUUGCCUUCGUAGACCAGGCUCUUGUACAAAUAGGAAAAUCACUCACUGGACAGUCUUCAGGAGUGUGAGAAGCAUAGCAAAAAAGAGGGAAGAAAAAAGAAAGAAAAAAGGAAGAAAGAAAAAAUAAUGAUUUUAAAGAAUUUUCAGCAAAGAAUGAUAUUCAAGGUCUGGGAGCCACAAUAGUCUAAAGAUAAAAGAAGAGAAAAAUGCUCUGGGCUUCUGACAUGUGACAUCCUGCACAGUCCCGGGGCAGAGAGCCAAGCCUCUGCUGUUUUGCUGCCAGAGAGUUUAAUAGAAAGACCUGCUCUUUGAUCACUGUGUGGGAUUCUGUAACUGAGGAAGAGCCCUGGCCCCUCUCCUAGCACCACCAGAGCCUCUGUAAAACUCUUCUGUGGCUUCCACCAGGUGGCAGCAGGAAAUAAAGUUUGCACAAAAAUUGG